CAGCUACUCUAGUGGAGUCCCAGAAUAAAAGUACAGAGCUAGAAAUGAGCAUUAUAGGUCAUUUCCAGCCAUUUAAUGUUAGCUGUGAAACUGUGAUCAUAUGUGAUGUGAAAAUGAAUAAUCUUCAAUUAAGUUGUCAGGAGGUUACAGUACAGUUUGUAUACAUAACGCAUAAGUGCAGCUUAUUAUGAUGUUAUUUUUUAUUAUGCUUUGACUCUACCUGUUGAACUAUUUUGGUGUCAUGACGGUGUGAAAAUAGACCUCUGUAAAUGGAGUAGACACUCCCAUCUCUGUAAUUUCAAAGACUGAUUAGAGAUCUGUUUUCUCAUGUGAAUUGGUCAUUAACAUUGCAGAUGUCCUGUGUUAGAAAUGACUUUGCAGACCUUCAUCUGCAGAUGCAAUCUGUUCAAAGAGGGCUGGAGAUAAUUUUUGAAGAGUUGCGUCACAGUUGCAUACUGAUGUUAUUUGCUGCUAUUUUGCUGCUUUGUUUCCUGACUGAGGUAGGUGGUGUGCACCAUCAUGGCUGAACCCAUUAAUCUUCUUGAGAGUGGUAAAUGAAUGCAGCCUUACUGGUCUUUACUGUUUGGUGUUCAAAUAAUUAGAAGAAGUCUACGCCUAAAGUUCAUGAGGCUUAUUAGAAUCAUGAUAUCGAGUAUGUAGGAACCGAUGCACUUCAGCUUUCAUGAACAUUGACACUUGGCAUUUUGUCACAGCGACAAGUUCCAAUCUGUAGAGAAUACAGGUGUUGGAGGAGAGCCGCUCCGGUGGCCGCCUCGCCCCGCCUCAUCCCAGUCAGCUGCUGCAAGAAGCCCAGUGAACUAAAUGGGCUUCAGGCUUCAGUCACUCAGUUGAUCUGUUGUUGAGAGUGAAAACCAGCAGAGACUUAUUCUGCAGUCAGGGACAUGGACAACUGUGAAAACUCCUGCCAUCACAGAAGACGUAUAGGUCUACUUUCAUCCAAAAGUCACUGGCAAAAUCAACAAUUUUCAACGGAGGUGUGUUGAAUCAGGUUGUAAAAUCAUUGUUUCCAUUUAGAUACGAUGCACAUGAGUAAUACUUUGUUCCUCCUACUUUUAAACUCUAAUAUUCCGGUUGAGUGUCUUUCAACAUAAAGUCCCUGUUGUGUGAUGAAACAAAUCAAACCAGAUAGAAGAAAUACUAUCUCAAAGCCACAGAUGGAUGUUAAAAAAGGUUAUUUUUUACAAAAAGGGAGCAAAAUAUCACACUGAACGACCAAAAUAAACAAUUAUGCAUGUUGACUCGCUAGUGUGAUCAUUUGUGUCAUUGAAUUUAUUUUUGUGCUUUUUAUCAGUUUGUAUCAGUUUUACUUUUUAGAAAUUCAGUUUUUUACUGUAUUGUAUAAAGCGUGAGCUGACUGAGCCUGCAUGCUCUUUCUCCAGCUCCACUGGAGCAGUUAGGGAUGUUAAUACAAAGUGCUCAAGGGCACUUUGACAGUAGUCACCGAGGAAGUGGAGAGCCUAUCUCACUCUGUUUUUUUUUUACCAGGCAAUGUUGGGAUUCAAAUUUGUUUCCUUCUCUAGCCUGUAGCUUCCUGCCUCCUUAUUUAUUGUAGAAUUUGCAUUUGGGACAUUCGGGGAAUAUGACAAACAUUUUAAAGGAUUGAAUAGAAGGUGAGAAACAAAAAUACACUAUUAGGACAGUCUAGGCUAAAUAAUAAAACCAUUUAUUAUUAUGCUUCAAGCCAUAUUGCACAACUUUUAAGACCAUCUUAUUUAAGGCUGUAGAAAAAACAAUAUAGAAGCUCUGAUUUUCUAAUAUUUUAUUCUUAAAUUUGGCAAGAGGUGCAUUUUUAAGGGUCCAGAUCAGUAUUUAAACUUUUGAUCGAAGGGUAAAAAGACAAAAUUAGGUUGAAUAUUGAAUUUUAUUGUCAUAUUUUACACCUUUUUGUUGGCAGAUCAUGAUUGUCAAUCUUCCCAUCCAGUCAGUCAGGUAUACAGCACUUGAGUUGACAUUAACAGUAAGCUGUGCCACUCAAGCUGUCAUCUCAGUGAGCAGAAUUAGUUGGUGGAGUCACCAGUCUGUGUCAACAAUUGAGAUUGCUCUGCUUUUUAUUCUCCAAUUUAAUACACAUUUUUUAAUGGUGAUGUAUCAAAGUCAUGGCUUGCUUUUCACCUUUGCCACUGCACGUAUAUUGUGUUUAAGCUUCUAUAAAAUGAACACUACUCAUUAUAAAAAGCAAGAUGUUACUUUCCAUGUGCAAUCUUGUGAAUUUCACUCCCCAGUCAGUUUUUAUUCCUUAAGCUCAAGCUGUCAAGCCAGACUUCACAACAAAAUGUUAAAACAGAUUCACUGAGGCAAGGUCAUCAUUUUAACACACAUGCUUAAGCAGUUUAUCUUGCACAGGGAAAAAUAAACACUGCUGUACCUUAUCACAAAUCUGCUCGGGUAUUUGUCUUAAAGCAAGUCCUGUUCACAGCCCAGACACCACUGCUCCCAUAUAUCCACCAACUCAAUAUCCCUGCCUCUUAUCAUGGUGGGUGUUAGAUUAUGGUGCAAGAGAUCAAGGGAUGUAGGAAGUGACCGCAAAGCAAAAAGUGAGGAACAAAUCAGAGAGUCUGUAAAAAGACAAGUGGAAACAGUCCUCAGCCUCAACUGGUUCAGACAGUUGAAUAAUGAGUGUGAAUCUUUAAAAUCUUCAAUCAAAAAAUAUAAUUCCUCUGCUUUAAAAAAUAGCCUUUAUAGUUUUAUUUGCUUGGAAACAUCUGUCUAAGACACUGACACUUGUAGGGUAAUCCCUCACGAGAAAGAACAGUUUUUAGAGAGUGGGUGGACAUGCUCCCUGUUGCUAGAAAUAUGCUUUUUUUGUUUUUAAUGGCCUUACAUUGUAAUGUCAUAAGUACUUUGACCAUCUUGUCAUGCAACAUGCUGACAUGAUGAUACAUGAGAAGCUGCAUAUGAACCCCCUCUAGAUCAGAGCCAAAUGAAGUGAUACAUUUUCAUUUAAUUGCAUUCUCAUUUGCGAUGAAAAGACUUUCAUAUCUAUUGGGAUUCACACAUGCUUUUGAUCGCUUAAGCUUUUCAUAAGAAAUCCUUCUGCUGUACAACUUUUAGGCUGUAACCAUUAAAGAAAAAUAUAUUAUCUCUAACAUUACUUUUACUACUUAGAAAGAUAAUUUGUCUGAAUGUUUUAGAUAUUUGAGGAAGUACUACAAAGACACAUUAAUAUAGAUUAUUUCACUAAUAGGUUUUCUCAGUUCAAUUUGAUAUUAGAUUCUUCAUCAUAUUUUAUUCAUCAUAUUGAUGAUCGCAUAUAUUCUAUGUGGAUGAUGUUACCAUGUCUGCUAGAGGAAAGGCUUAAAUAAGUUUUAUGUGAUGUUUUAGAUCAAAUCUACAAAAGGAAUUAUUUGGCAGUUAAGUCAGAAAAUGCUGAGGAUGUAGCUUGUUGAGGGAGAUGUUAUCUAAAAAUUUUGGGAGACAUUAGGAGAGUUUGCAGCCAAGCAGUCAUCUUGCCCUAGUAGAAGCUUUAAAAAAUGUCAGCCAUUUCCAGUAUUACAUCAUGACUGUAAACAAUAGAGGACAAAACAAUUACGAUGAUAUCCCUUGGUCUCUGUGUGUUUGUUUUGAAGCAAUGAGACUGUGUUUAUAGGUGCCCAGCAGGGCUUGAAAUUAGCACCUGCCCACCCUCCAAAUAUAGUUAAAAAUUAAUCGAGGCAAGUAGUGUCAUCAGGUUACAAGCCAAUUUGGCAGGUGAUGAAUUUAAUGGUGAUACUCCUGCACAGACGCAGACAGAAUGACAAGCAUAAACUGCACAAAACAGAUGUGGUAAAAUAAGAAUUGUAGAAUACGUUGAAGAAGCAGUGUCCUUUCAAUUAUCAUCCACAACUGCUACUAGUACAUAUGAGACCCAGUGCGAAUAAGUUUAUGGCACAGUACAGGGCUCUAGCAAUAAAAGUACAUGACAUUUUGGGCACAUCUUUGCGCAUCAGACUGGCAAGUCAUUACACACAGAUUAUAAAUUUAUACACUGGAAAUCACUAGAGUUAUAGGAAGCAUUCAGGAUACAUCCUAAGCCAAAAGAUGUCAAGACUCAAGACGAAAACAUACUUUAUAUUUUACUAUGUUCUGUUAUGUAAAUGCAGAAUGCAGUAAUGCAAAUGACUCAAAAUUACUCUAAUUUACUUAAGAGUAUCUGCAGUAUUGGUAUUGUAAUGAAUACCUCUCAACUUUUAACGUUAAAAAAGUUGCUACAAUAGAUGUACUGUAAUAGGAAAAGGCAGAAGUUAUAGUGUAUAUAUAUGUAGAUAAUGCAACCUGAGUAAAUUGUGUAAUUCCAUCUUAGUAUAAGACACAUAAUUAUUUUCUUGAUUCACACAUAGUGGUCCAUAGGACUGUGCAUCAGCCGGAUGGCUCUGCACAGCAUGCUUACAUCAUGGUAGUGCAUUAAUAUGGAAAAGUGAUAAGACCACUCCAUCAAAGCUAUAUACCGUUAUCUGAAAUUAAUCAACACCCCUCGAGACAUUCAGAAUUGAGUAUUCAUUGUGGCAGCAGUAUGAAAGUGUAAAAAAAAUGUAUUAGGUCUAAAAUCGGUGCGACCCCAUAAGGAUAAUACCAGUGUGACUGAGUUUUUUGCUCGUCUCAGAGGAUAUAAAUGGCUUUCCAUCCACUGAAGACAUUUUUAGUUCUAUUCAGUGCUGCGCCAGAGGCGUUAAUCUGAGAUGUAUUUACCUAAUAUCUCCUGGUUCCUUCAUGCUGUAUUUGAAACAUUUAGGAAAGUUAUAUUUUUCACAAGUUGGUUACAGUCUGCAAAUAUGAACAUGAUGUCAGUUUUGGUAUUUUAAUGUAUGCAGGUGCGCUGUGCUCAACUUGAAGAUGAAAAUGCAUUUAAUAGUUUCAUGUGCAAGAACAAAAAGGAUUGAAUUAAUGACAGUGUAACUCCUGGCAUUUGCUUGCUGCAGUCAAAUUUCACAAGAUACAGAAGCUGGAAACAUUGCAAGAGCUCCCGAUAUUCACCACAUUCUGAGCUGCAGUCCAUCUACACCUUUUUAAAGACAGUUGCCAGGAGGCAAAAUAUGAAACUAUUCCGUUCACUGAGCUGACAAAGGUGACAAAUCUGACAGAGUCAAAGCUCCUUAGUGACUGACACAAUGACCUGAACAAAGAAUUAAAAUGAGUUUUCUGUGGUUCUGUUUUGGAGACAGGUGACAUUAAUGAGAAGGAUCUCGUAAAUAACUGCACAUCAUAUUAGCAGAAGUCCCAGCUCUCAGUGUCAUUGUUGUUAAUUAGUGCUGCCAGUAUAUUGCUUGGUUAUUUCAGUCGUUGUUAUUGAAGUCAUGAAUGCACUCUGGUGUAUCUUGUUAAAAUGCAGCACAGCGAAUGAUCUGUGACUCUUCUUAAUGGUUUUAGAUAUUAGAUAUUAUUGUAAGUCAGAGUAAGAACUUGUAUUGUGACACCACUAUUCCCUGUGCUAAUUACUCCCAGUAAUAACAGUUGAGGUUUAAAGUGUUAGAAAUGUGAUUUUGAAGUGUGUUGCACACAAGACAGUCCAUGAAAGUUCCCGUGAGGUUUAUGCAUUCUGUUCAUGUUUGUCUUGGUUUCCUCUUAGACCUGCAAGUCAGAGUUGGUGACUAAUCCAUCUUCUUGCUCGCAGAUCUGAAGGAUUGACUACAAAGUCCUGUUACUCACAUACAAAUCCAUCAAUGGACAUGCGCCUCCCUACCUACAGAAACUGAUCAUACCACAAACCUCCACGCGCACCCUCAGAUCUGCCAGCAACUUGCUCCUCCGGGACCCCAGUACUA
This is a long non-coding RNA of Thunnus maccoyii (southern bluefin tuna), 5759 nucleotides long. RefSeq lists it as uncharacterized. NCBI's taxonomy places the organism in Eukaryota, Metazoa, Chordata, Actinopteri, Scombriformes, Scombridae. The record is from RefSeq and is a predicted model, not a curated record. The transcript is spliced from 3 exons.